Long non-coding RNA from Argiope bruennichi, 527 nucleotides. RefSeq lists it as uncharacterized. The record is from RefSeq and is a predicted model, not a curated record. Lineage: Eukaryota; Metazoa; Arthropoda; Arachnida; Araneae; Araneidae. The transcript has 3 exons.
GCUAGAUAUUGUGUGGAGACUUUAUUGUAUUUCCCUUUAGAUGCCGUGUAUUAGCUUCAUCAUUUAUUUUAGAAUGUGGAAACUGAGAUUUAGUUUUCACAUAAUACUAAAUAAUAACGUGUAAUGGUCAAAAUUUCUUUACGCUGUCUUCCUGGAAUAUUCACCACGCAUCCAAGUGUACAAUAUUUCUGUAGAAUGAAUUGCUUUUGGGCAGAACUAGGAUUUUUCGCAAGAAAAGAUUUUUUCGAAGAGAUUUGGCACCUUCCGACUACUUGUUGAAUCCAGCGUUUUCCAGAGAAUAGUUUCAAAAUAUGUUCAAGAUAUGUCUAUAUCUGUUCAGGAUUCAUGUCGACACUUCUAUUUCAACCCAAUCUAAUUUGUUUAACAAGGUAGAGGAACUUUCAAGUGGGUGCCUCAAAUUUCAGUGGUGGAUGUAGCUGGCCAUUAAAAAAAACGAUGUAUGGUGCAAUGAUGCUUCCAUUUACCAACGGCAUCGAAAUUCACAGUCGGAAUCGCAUCGCACGAUA